GUUGUCCAGAGGCUGGUUGCUUUUAGUCCAAGUAAUGCCUCCCACACCUCGGAUUUCAGCCAGGCUGUGCCAGGGAGGGCAGAGGGCACCCCGAAAAGAAACGCUUUACUGAAGAGGCCACCAAAUACUUCCGGGACAGAGUCAGCCCAGUGCAUCUGCAAAUCCUGCUGACUAACAAUGAAGCCUGGAAGAGAUUCGUGACUGCGGCUGAAUUGCCCAGGGAUGAGGCAGAUGCUCUCUAUGAAGCUCUGAAGAAGCUUAGAACAUAUGCGGCUAUUGAGGACAAAGACGUGCAGCAAAAAGACCAGCAGUUUAGGGAGUGGUUUUUGAAAGAGUUUCCCCAAGUCAAGAGGAAUAUCCAGGAGUCCAUAGAGAAGCUUCGUGCCCUUGCAAAUGGGAUUGAAGAGGUCCACAGAGGCUGCACCAUCUCCAAUGUGGUGUCCAGCUCCACUGGCGCUGCCUCUGGCAUCAUGUCCCUCGCUGGCCUUGUUCUGGCACCACUUACAGCAGGGACGAGUCUGGCCCUUACUGCAGCUGGGGUAGGGCUGGGAGCAGCAUCUGCUGUGACUGGGAUCA
RNAcentral lists this small RNA (576 nucleotides) under Pan troglodytes (chimpanzee). RNAcentral describes it as "processed transcript". The record is from RNAcentral. Lineage: Eukaryota; Metazoa; Chordata; Mammalia; Primates; Hominidae.